CACUGGGCGGAAGCAUCGUGAUUUCCUGGCCCGGGGUUCUGUGAGGUCACAGAUGAGUGCUGUGAGAGAACCUAGAGGUCAGCUGGAGUUGUAUUUUGGGAGGAGACUGAUCAGUUUAUCGCAUCAUAAAGAGAGAAAGAGGGUGCAAAGCCAAGACAUGAGCCAGUGGGACCACAGGCUUCCCAUGAAUCAGUGAACCAAAGAAUAAAUGAUGAGCUAGCGUCCGCUCCGACGGUGGAGGGGUCCUCAUCUAGGGCAGAAGGCGAGAGUCCUGCAAACCUGGGCUUAACUGCAUGAAGGUCAUUUGGUCCACGCGUGAGACUGAUUUUAAAAACGGGGAGAGGAAAUGUCUAACCACUCCCGGUGCUCCCUGUCCACCACGAUGCAAGGAGAGCAAGAUGAUGUAAACAUGAGUGGGAGAACAGCUUGGUCACUCUGCGGAGAAGAGAGGUGCAAGUGGGACAGAACUUCCUUCCCCCCGAGGUCUUCAUUCCUUUAGGGCUCCGGGUGGGUGGUGUCAUGAGAUAAGGCCGGGUGCUGGAUUCAUUUACUGUUGCUGCGCUACACAGGACAACAGCUUUAGUGGCCUUAAACGACACAUUUAUUAGCUCACGCUGUAUGCUCAUCAGGAAACCCUAGCUCCAUGUUCUGCUCAGCUUUUCUUAAGCUUGCAACCGAGGCACUAAUUACACUGGACUCUCAUUUGGACUGGCAGCUAGAAAAGACCCUUUCUACUCUCCCUCGGGUAGGGACAGACGAUUUUCUUUCAGCUGUGUGACUAAGAACAUCAGCUUCCUAUGGGCUGGAGAAUGGAGGCUGCAUAUCCUGGAGGCCACCUCAGUUCCCUGCCGUGUGUCCCUGUUUAUGGGAGCUGGAAAACAGCUGUUUCACUCUCUCCAGCUUGUACAGGAGGAGUCAUAUAGUGUCGUGUCAGCUAUGUCACAGAUGCCAUCACGGGGGGGCGUCACACAGGGUGACUCACUGAGGACUACCUUGGGGCAUCUCCAGCAGUCACUCACCUCCGGUCAGGGUCUGGUAGGAGGUUCUGACAGGAUGGAUAUUGGAUUUAGAGAGAAAGAAGAGGGAAAGGGACAUAGUUAUGAGGGGAGGAAGACCCCAUCCUUGUAUGUCACGUCUGUGAGGGCAAUGCCCUGGCCGGCUCCACAGGGAGGUGUGAAGGAAUGGGCCCUAUAGCCAAUGUGAAUCUAGUUUAGACCUUAGGUUGGAGGGCGGCAGCCAUCCAUGAGGCUCCUCUGAGACUCUCGUCAAAGACAAGGCCACACGAGACUCUGAGGCCGAGCCAGAAGGGACACCAGGGGUCAUCGUGGUUGUCUGAGCAGGUAUCUGGAAUCAUGGACACUCAAAAUCAACAGCAUGUAGUAUAUUUUGUACUGCCGUGGCUCCUGUUUUCUAGAGGUUGUUCCCUCUAGUUCACUUCUGGCUAAAGUUAUUCAUCCUAAAAUGUUAAGCCCAAGUAACGCUAUCUGACUCCCUGAGCACAUCCCCCCUCCAUUUCUGAUCAGUCACCUUCUCUGCCAACAAAGAACCUGCACUUGCCUUCUUCUGAGCAUUCUGUUGUUGUGGAGGCCUUGUGUUGAAGCCUUGGUCACAAGGCUGUGAUGUUGUUGGGAGGAAGUGGAAUCUCUAGGAGGUGUGGCCUAGUGGGAGGAAGUCAGGUCAUUGGAGGCUGGGCCUUGAAGAGGAUAUUGGAACCUGGUACCUUCUCUCUCUGCAAACUUGUCACCAUGAAAUGAGCAGCUUUGCUACACUCUGCUGCCGUCAUGAUGUUCUCUCACCACAGGCCCCAAAGCAGUGGAGCCAACCACCUGUGGACUGAAAUGUCUAAAACUAUG
This is a long non-coding RNA of Heterocephalus glaber (naked mole-rat), 1853 nucleotides long. RefSeq lists it as uncharacterized. The record is from RefSeq and is a predicted model, not a curated record. NCBI's taxonomy places the organism in Eukaryota, Metazoa, Chordata, Mammalia, Rodentia, Bathyergidae.